Molecule: long non-coding RNA, 1556 nt
Organism: Nematostella vectensis (starlet sea anemone)
Lineage: Eukaryota; Metazoa; Cnidaria; Anthozoa; Actiniaria; Edwardsiidae
Exons: 2
Source: RefSeq, a predicted model, not a curated record
UAAUGGCUGUGUUGGUGGGGGAAAAAUUGGUACGGUGUAUAGGUAAGAGUGGUGGUGAGGGAGAUGUGGAGUAGAUGUAUUUGUGGGAACUACUAGGUAUGAAAUUGUAUAUCAUGACCAUUACUAUGACAAUAUAAAGUAUGAAUCUAAUGCCUAAAUGAUGUAAAAAAUGAACAGGAAAUAUGUCCAAAAAGUGUACAAAAAAACACCAAAAAUAAUAGAAUAGUUUCUAUUACAGCGAAAGUAAUUGUAAAAUAAAUUGUAGCGCAGAAAUAUUAUAAGAAAUAGUAUUAUAAGACUAAAGAAAACAAAGAAAACUAACUUUUCUGGGUUAAGAAUAGAACGGAAGUGACGUAGCACUUAUGCAUAUUCGGUAAGUUAAUUAUGCGACCAAUUUUAGAACGAACGAACGCUUUGACACAAGCCGAUGCGUUACCAUGAAAUAGAUAAGUUCACGUAAAUGAUGCGAAUUUGCUCGGAAAAUAUGUGUAUCGAUGGAGUAACAUGAAAGACAAAGGAUUCUAACAGCGAUGGCAAAAGGUUAGAGUGUUAAAUGAGGUCGUACGUGUUAUAGGAUCGGAGAUAAUUGCUUGUUUAAACUCGAGUGACCUCGUGCCUGACCCGAUGAGUAAAUUGUUAGUGAAGCAAUUCACAAAGCAGAAACUAGCUUGAAGUUGUGUAUAAGAACAAAAUCGUUCUGCAGAAAAGAAUGUAAAACAGAUCUUAAAUGGUUGUAAUAAACGGAGAAGUUAUUCUGUCAGGUUAUGUUCGGGUGGUUAAGAUUAUGGGUUAUGAGACGACGGGUUAAGGUUGUUAUAAGAGAUGGGGUUGAUAAUGCAAAAACAUGAGAGUUAUGAAUAAAGGGUUUUUUUGUGUUUAGUGGAAAAGGUAGUUAGUAAAUAUGGUAUUAUGUGGAGAUUGAAACAGUUAAAAUCGGUUACUUGUGGCGAGUGUUGUGUAGCGGAUGUGAAGAGGUGAUGGCGGCGUUAGUGAAAUCUGAUGAAGGGGGAUAAUGCGAGUGUGAGCAGAAUGAUGAGCAGGGAUAUUGUGACGAGACUGUGUAGUGUUUUUGAGAAAGUGUGUUGUGUGUAGGGUAGGAAAGUAAUAUGUAGGGUAAGAGAAAGAAAAGUGUUUAGAUUGUAGAGAGGAAAUGGUGAGCGGUAAUGGAGAGGGUGAGGUAUGUGUGGAGGUAUGUAUCUAAUGAAGUGUGUAAGUGGUAUGAUUGACAGGCGAAAUUAAAUAAUAAUAGAGAUUGAAUGAGUGUUGCGAAAACGCCGAGAAAAAAUACAAAAUACUGUAGCGGUGAAAGGAAGUAUUGCGGAAAAUGAUGCUAGUAAAACGGCGAGAAGAAGAUGAAGUAGGGGCGCGGGAGGCGACAAAGGGAGCGCGGUGAGAGUGGAGAUGACGCUGAAACGUUAACAAGACAGGAAGGAUAGUUUUCCCUAGAUGAAGCGAUAAUCGGUGGUGAGAGAUAAGGGGAGAAGGCGAAGGCACGAAGAAAACAACCGGCAUGUAUAUGCAAAAUGGACAUAACAAAAUAAACCAAUAAGACAAAA